UGGGGAAUAUUGGACAAUGGGCGCAAGCCUGAUCCAGCAAUGCCGCGUGCAGGAUGAAGGCCUUCGGGUUGUAAACUGCUUUUGUACGGAACGAAACGGCUCCUAUUAAUACUGGGGGCUAAUGACGGUACCGUAAGAAUAAGCACCGGCUAACUACGUGCCAGCAGCCGCGGUAAUACGUAGGGUGCGAGCGUUAAUCGGAAUUACUGGGCGUAAAGCGUGCGCAGGCGGUUAUAUAAGACAGAUGUGAAAUCCCCGGGCUCAACCUGGGACCUGCAUAUGUGACUGUACAGCUAGAGUACGGUAGAGGGGGAUGGAAUUCCGCGUGUAGCAGUGAAAUGCGUAGAUAUGCGGAGGAACACCGAUGGCGAAGGCAAUCCCCUGGACCUGUACUGAUGCUCAUGCACGAAAGCGUGGGGAGCAAACAGGAUUAGAUACCCUUGUAGUCCCUGAGCGGGCUGGCA
Molecule: ribosomal RNA, 464 nt
Filed under: uncultured bacterium
Lineage: Bacteria
Description: bacterial SSU rRNA
Rfam family: Bacterial small subunit ribosomal RNA
Source: RNAcentral